CAAACAAAACAUUCAUCCAUCUCUACUAUAGUGACGGAAUUAAAUUCCUUAAAAUUGGAAUGUAAAGACAGUCUUUGGUUUUUCCAAUUUCUUUGGUAGUUCAUAUGAGGAAGUAAGUACCAUCUGCUUUCGCAGAAAUCUAUUUUAUUCACUUUCUGAAUGUGAAGUACUUUCUCUUCUCUCAUUAAUCUUCUACUUCUUAUUAGCCAUACUUUUACAACGAUUGUAAAACAUAGUUACUAAUACGAAAUCAAACAUUCAAGUAGAAGAACCAACUGUUUUGAACUAUUGAAGAACAAUUUACAACACCUUCAAAAGGUGUGUUCUUGACACUUGUAAGACAUUUCUUGCAAAUACCCCUUCCAAUGUCCAUCCUUUCAUAAAUAAAGUUUGUUCCCUUGGAGUUAUUUCGCUUUCUUCAUUUGACUUCUCCUUUGACUACCAUAGUCAAGGUCCCUAAACUCCCACUAUCUCUCUUGAAACCUUUUUCAAUUGUGUUAAACACAUCAAACAAUUUGGAGAGCUUGUGGUUAUUGUUCACUAUAUAGUUUACAAUAAACUUAGUGAACUAUAAGGAUAGGGACACAAAGGUGAAGUCCUUGCCUAGUUUCCGUCUCGUUAAGUGGUUUAUCACUUCAACACUCAAUGAUUCAAAAUCAUCAUAAGUCCAUGCUAAUGGACUAUUUUUGUCAACCAACCAUUAUGUUCUAAACAUAAUUACAAACUUUCAAGAGUUGUUCAAAGCAACUC
RNAcentral lists this long non-coding RNA (750 nucleotides) under Malus domestica (apple). RNAcentral's name for it is "long non-coding RNA (MDOM_LNC018335)". Lineage: Eukaryota; Viridiplantae; Streptophyta; Magnoliopsida; Rosales; Rosaceae. The record is from RNAcentral.